AGAGUUUGAUCCUGGCUCAGAACGAACGCUGGCGGCGUGCCUAACACAUGCAAGUCGAACGGRAUUUGAGAGCUUGCUCUUAAAUUUAGUGGCGCACGGGUGAGUAACGCGUAGAUAAUCUGCCUGAUGAUCUGGGAUAACACUUCGAAAGAGGUGCUAAUACCGGAUAAGCCCACGGRGUCUUUGGAUUCUGCGGGAAAAGGGGGGGACCUUCGGGCCUUCUGUCAUCAGAUGAGUCUGCGUACCAUUAGCUAGUUGGUAGGGUAAUGGCCUACCAAGGCWACGAUGGUUAGCKGGUCUGAGAGGAUGAUCCGCCACACUGGAACUGAAACACGGACCAGACUCCUACGGGAGGCAGCAGUGAGGAAUAUUGCGCAAUGGGGGAAACCCUGACGCAGCGACGCCGCGUGGAUGAUGAAGGCCUUCGGGUCGUAAAAUCCUGUCAGAUGGAAAGAAAUGCAUGGUGGCUAAUACCUGCCAUGUUUGACGGUACCAUCGAAGGAAGCACCGGCUAACUCCGUGCCAGCAGCCGCGGUAAUACGGAGGGUGCAAGCGUUGUUCGGAAUUACUGGGCGUAAAGCGCGCGUAGGCGGUUUGCUAAGUCAGAUGUGAAAGCCCAUGGCUCAACCAUGGACGUGCAUUUGAAACUGGCAGACUUGAGUAUUGGAGGGGGUGGUGGAAUUCCCGGUGUAGAGGUGAAAUUCGUAGAUAUCGGGAGGAAUACCGGUGGCGAAGGCGACCACCUGGCCAAAUACUGACGCUGAGGYGCGAAAGCGUGGGGAGCAAACAGGAUUAGAUACCCUGGUAGUCC
This 811-nucleotide ribosomal RNA is filed under the name uncultured bacterium. RNAcentral describes it as "bacterial SSU rRNA". It matches the Rfam family "Bacterial small subunit ribosomal RNA", at positions 8 to 796 of the family's 1533-position model. The record is from RNAcentral.